Molecule: ribosomal RNA, 253 nt
Filed under: uncultured bacterium
Lineage: Bacteria
Description: partial 16S ribosomal RNA
Rfam family: Bacterial small subunit ribosomal RNA
Source: RNAcentral
GACAGAGGGGGCAAGCGUUGCUCGGAAUCACUGGGCGUAAAGGGCGCGUAGGCGGGAUGGCAAGUCGGUCGUGAAAUCCUUCGGCUCAACCGAAGAACGUCGGCCGAUACUGCCGUUCUUGAGGGAUGCAGAGGAGAUUGGAAUUCCCGGUGUAGCGGUGAAAUGUGUAGAGAUCGGGAGGAACACCGGUGGCGAAGGCGGGUCUCUGGGCAGUUCCUGACGCUGAGGCGCGAAAGCGUGGGGAGCAAACGGG